RNAcentral lists this ribosomal RNA (253 nucleotides) under uncultured prokaryote. RNAcentral describes it as "partial 16S ribosomal RNA". It matches the Rfam family "Bacterial small subunit ribosomal RNA", at positions 524 to 776 of the family's 1533-position model. The record is from RNAcentral.
UACAGAGGGUGCGAGCGUUAAUCGGAAUUACUGGGCGUAAAGCGUGCGUAGACGGUUUCGUAAGUCGGGUGUGAAAUCCCCGGGCUUAACCUGGGAACUGCAGUCGAGACUGCUUUGCUUGAGUAUGGGAGAGGGAGGUGGAAUUUCCGGUGUAGCGGUGAAAUGCGUAGAUAUCGGAAGGAACAUCAGUGGCGAAAGCGACCUCCUGGACCAAUACUGACACUCAAGUGCGAAAGCGUGGGGAGCAAACAGG